UUCUGGUUGAUCCUGCCGGAGGUCACUGCUAUUGGGAUUCGACUAAGCCAUGCGAGUCGAGAGGGUUCGGCCCUCGGCUGACGGCUCAGUAACACGUGGAUAAUCUACCCUAAGGUGGAGGAUAACCUCGGGAAACUGAGAAUAAUACUCCAUAAGUCUAGGAUACUGGAAUGUACUUAGGCUGAAAACUUCGGUGCCCUAGGAUGAGUCUGCGGACUAUCAGGUUGUAGUCAGGGUAAAGACCUGACUAGCCUACAACGGAUACGGGUUGUGAGAGCAAUAACCCGGAGAUGAUAUCUGAGACACGAUAUCAGGCCCUACGGGGCGCAGCAGGCGCGAAAACUUCACACUGCGCGAAAGCGCGAUGAGGGAAUCCCAAGUGCUUGCACGUAAGUGUAAG
Molecule: ribosomal RNA, 400 nt
Filed under: uncultured archaeon
Lineage: Archaea
Description: bacterial SSU rRNA
Rfam family: Archaeal small subunit ribosomal RNA
Source: RNAcentral